Molecule: ribosomal RNA, 481 nt
Filed under: Treponema sp. canine oral taxon 359
Lineage: Bacteria; Pseudomonadati; Spirochaetota; Spirochaetia; Treponematales; Treponemataceae
Description: bacterial SSU rRNA
Rfam family: Bacterial small subunit ribosomal RNA
Source: RNAcentral
GAGUUUGAUUCUGGCUCAGAACGAACGCUGGCGGCGCGUCUUAAGCAUGCAAGUCGAACGGCAAGAGAGAAGCUUGCUUCUCUCCUAGAGUGGCGGACUGGUGAGGAACGCGUGGGUAAUCUGCCCUUAAGAUGGGGAUAGCCGUUAGAAAUAGCGGGUAAUACCGAAUACACUCACUUUCACACAAGAGGAAGUGAGGAAAGGAAGCUAAGGCUUCGCUUAAGGAUGAGCCUGCGUCCCAUUAGCUUGUUGGUAAUGGUAACGGCUUACCAAGGCGACGAUGGGUAUCCGGCCUGAGAGGGUGAACGGACACAUUGGGACUGAGAUACGGCCCAAACUCCUACGGGAGGCAGCAGCUAAGAAUAUUCCGCAAUGGACGGAAGUCUGACGGAGCGACGCCGCGUGGAUGAAGAAGGCUGAAAAGUUGUAAAAUCCUUUUGCCGAUGAAGAAUAAUGAUAAGAGGGAAUGCUUAUCAGAUGA